Molecule: long non-coding RNA, 813 nt
Filed under: Elaeis guineensis (African oil palm)
Lineage: Eukaryota; Viridiplantae; Streptophyta; Magnoliopsida; Arecales; Arecaceae
Description: long non-coding RNA (EGUI_LNC078636)
Source: RNAcentral
CGCUCUUCUCUCAAUCUGAUUUAUUUUCUAUGCAUCCAUAGGUAGAGACCCUUUCUAUUUAUAGAUGAUUCUCAUGACCUAAUGAGAGUAGGACUCCUAACUCAAAUCUGAUUUGAAUCAGUCCAAUACUCAUGAAAGAAAAAUUCUUACAUGAGAUAGAAUUGUCAUCAUUUAUGAUAUCCACUUUGCACCCACUCCCACACCCACUUAGGACACCCCAAACCAACAUCAAAUCAGGUGUUGGUCAUUCUCUAUGAGAGGAGAAUCCCAGUACAAGUGAGAAUACUCAUAUCUCAUCAAAAUAGAUCUGAUUCAAAUCUAAUUCGAAGCUGGUUCGAAAUAAGUUUGAAAGGCUGUCAAUCCCAAACUCUUUAAGACUUUUGUACCAAGUCUUUCUUAAAUUUUGGAUCCAAUUAAAAUUAAUUAAUUUAGAUCUAAUCUAAAAUUAAUCAUCAUUUAAAUCUAAUCUUUCAUAUGCUCCAUGGAUCAUAGAUCAGAAACUGUUCAUCCUCGAGAUCGAACCUGAACCUCAUAUGUAGUGCUCGCUAGACAUAUUCAACUCUUCAAUCAUGUUUGAUCUAUUACUUAAUUCUCAAUCAAGUUAGCUUAUAUGUUCAAUCAAGUCAAGUACUUUCAAAUUGAACAUAUAAACAUAGGUCAAUUCCUUCUUACUUUGUCUGACUUGUGUGCGUGACACCAUAGAUUCAAACACUAAGCCGGUAGCACAGGAACCAAUUCCUGCACUAAUCGAGAUACCAUCUAGCAAUAUUUUUCAAUAUCCAAAUAGAUCAAAUUAUCAUAAGAAAAUAUUUC